AUGGGGUGGCCGACGUGUGCCCAGGCAAUAUGGGCGGCGGCCGCGAUGGUGGCGAUGCUUGCCGCGGCGGUAGGGGAAUCCGACGCGGGCGAGCUAGAGCGCGCGUUUCCGAUCGUGGAGCCGGAUUACGGCCACACUAAGCUCCGUCUUUCGAAGCAAGGCCUGGAGGCAAUCCAAAGGAUCAACACCCCGAUAGCUGCUGUCUCUGUCAUUGGUCCAUAUCGAUCUGGAAAGUCUUUCCUUCUCAACCAGCUUCUCUCCUUGUCAUGCGACAAAGGUUUUGGAGUUGGACACAUGCGAGAUACCAAAACCAAAGGUAUAUGGAUUUGGGGUACUCCCGUUGAGGUCUAUGUUGAUGGCUCCAAGGUGUCUGUCCUUUACCUGGACACUGAAGGAUUCGAGAGCAUUGGAAAAUCCAAUGUAUAUGAUGACAGGAUAUUUGCUCUGGCAGCUGUCCUGAGUUCUCUUCUUGUCUACAAUCUCCCUGAGACGAUUCGUGAAGCUGAUAUAUCCAGACUCUCAUUCGCUGUUGAACUUGCUGAAGAAUUCUACGGAAGGUUUGGGCCAAGAUGUUGCUUUUGA
This 582-nucleotide ribosomal RNA is filed under the name Triticum aestivum (bread wheat). RNAcentral describes it as "partial small subunit ribosomal RNA". The record is from RNAcentral. Lineage: Eukaryota; Viridiplantae; Streptophyta; Magnoliopsida; Poales; Poaceae.